AUAACGCGGCGGCGUGUCUAACACAUGCAAGUCGAACGAUGAAGCCAGCUUGCUGGUGGUAUUAGUGGCGAACGGGUGAGUAACACGUGAGUAACCUGCCCUUGACUCUGGGAUAAGCCUGGGAAACUGGGUCUAAUACCGGAUAUGACUCCUCAUCGCAUGGUGGGGGGUGGAAAGCUUUUUGUGGUUUUGGAUGGACUCGCGGCCUAUCAUGCUUGUUGGUGAGGUAAUGGCUCACCAAGGCGACGACGGGUAGCCGGCCUGAGAGGGUGACCGGCCACACUGGGACUGAGACACGGCCCAGACUCCUACGGGAGGCAGCAGUGGGGAAUAUUGCACAAUGGGCGAAAGCCUGAUGCAGCGACGCCGCGUGAGGGAUGACGGCCUUCUGG
Molecule: ribosomal RNA, 392 nt
Filed under: Arthrobacter sp. 021-3.3-CV-A-03
Lineage: Bacteria; Bacillati; Actinomycetota; Actinomycetes; Micrococcales; Micrococcaceae
Description: bacterial SSU rRNA
Rfam family: Bacterial small subunit ribosomal RNA
Source: RNAcentral